Molecule: ribosomal RNA, 398 nt
Filed under: bacterium Ellin336
Lineage: Bacteria; Pseudomonadati; Pseudomonadota; Alphaproteobacteria; Sphingomonadales; Sphingomonadaceae
Description: bacterial SSU rRNA
Rfam family: Bacterial small subunit ribosomal RNA
Source: RNAcentral
AACGAACGCUGGCGGCAUGCCUAACACAUGCAAGUCGAACGAAGGCUUCGGCCUUAGUGGCGCACGGGUGCGUAACGCGUGGGAAUCKGCCCUUAGGUUCGGAAUAACAGCUGGAAACGGCUGCUAAUACCGGAUGAUAUCGCGAGAUCAAAGAUUUAUCGCCUGAGGAUGAGCCCGCGUUGGAUUAGGUAGUUGGUGGGGUAAAGGCCUACCAAGCCGACGAUCCAUAGCUGGUCUGAGAGGAUGAUCAGCCACACUGGGACUGAGACACGGCCCAGACUCCUACGGGAGGCAGCAGUGGGGAAUAUUGGACAAUGGGCGAAAGCCUGAUCCAGCAAUGCCGCGUGAGUGAUGAAGGCCCUAGGGUUGUAAAGCUCUUUUACCCGGGAAGAUAAUGA